GAGGUGCCUCUUUCACUGUAAAAAAAUUAGGGUGUUUCAAGCAAAGGUUGAUAUUGGAAUAUGAUAGUAUGGGAUGAUGAGAUAGGCCGUUGGCGGUAUUUUGUUGGUUUGCGCGUUGGCGGAAUGAUGAAGAGGGACAGUUGGGGGUAUUCGAAUUCUAGUGUCAGAGGUGAAAUUCUUGGAUUACUAGAAGGCGAACGACUGCGAAAGCAUUUACCAAGGAUGUUUUCAUUGAUCAAGAACGAAAGUAUGGGGAUCGAAGAUGAUUAGAUACCAUCGUAGUCCAUACCGUAAACGAUGCCGACUCGCGAUGGUCCCCUGGC
RNAcentral lists this ribosomal RNA (323 nucleotides) under Foraminifera environmental sample. RNAcentral's name for it is "partial Eukaryotic small subunit ribosomal RNA". It matches the Rfam family "Eukaryotic small subunit ribosomal RNA", at positions 740 to 1064 of the family's 1831-position model. Lineage: Eukaryota; Foraminifera. The record is from RNAcentral.